Molecule: transfer RNA, 67 nt
Filed under: Hypsicera sp. ZJUH_2016019
Lineage: Eukaryota; Metazoa; Arthropoda; Insecta; Hymenoptera; Ichneumonidae
Description: tRNA-Met
Source: RNAcentral
AUAAAAAUAAGCUAAAUUCCUAAGCUUUUAGGUUCAUACCCUAAAUAUAGAUCUAAUCUUUUUUAUA